Molecule: long non-coding RNA, 869 nt
Organism: Danio aesculapii
Lineage: Eukaryota; Metazoa; Chordata; Actinopteri; Cypriniformes; Danionidae
Exons: 6
Source: RefSeq, a predicted model, not a curated record
AGAACUGCUCUGCUCCAGUAGGAGUCCCACAACUCUCUGAUGAGCUUUUAUUGAAGAAUGACCAUAUGACAGAAAGAGAGAACUGCUCUGCUCCAGUAGGAGUCCCACAACUCUCUGAUGAGCUUUUAUUGAAGAAUGACCAUAUGACACAAGAGAGAAGUACUCUGCUCCAGUAGGAGUCCAACAACUCUCUGAUGAGAGAAAGUUACAGUGGAUCGUGUUUUUGGAGGAGGUGAAGUCCAGUCUAAAAGAGUCCCCUCAAGUAUCAUCACCAUGGUACAGUGUCUGUGAAGAUAGUGAAGCAGACCCAGCAUUCACAAAAAAAAGAGAGGUCCCAUAAGGAGAAGACCCUGGAGCAAACAGGAAGUACAUGCUGUGGUGAAAGCUGAACCAUUAGUUCUAAAAACCAGAGAUUGGUCAGAUUUGGAUUUUUAUAUUAAAAACUGAAUCUUGUCUCUUUAAAGAGAAAUCUGGGUAACACUUUUAUAGUAACUACACACUAUAAAUCAUUUGUUUAGCACUAACUCUACAUUAAUAGACUUUAGUAAGCAGUUUAUAAAUACAGCUACAAAGGCUGUGUUCUUGACUUGACUUAAUUGUAUUUUCAUGCUUUGUUACUGAUUUAUUUUUCAUUACUAAAUUAAGUAUUGCAUUAUUUACAAACCAUUUGUAUAAAAGGGUACUUGGUGGUUUUUAAGAUCACUCAGAAUGAGUUAGUAAAUGAUUAAUAAACUAUUCAAAUUUGUACAUGUUAUUAUUCAGGCAUAUUGUAUGUUAACAGAUGCUUUAUUAACACAACUUCAUGCAGUUUUGUGACCUAAUCUAGUAAGGACCAUUUAUACUUUAUAAAUUACUUAUGAAUGACAAUU